UUUGUGUAUUUUGAAUAUUUUUAGUUUAAUUUAAUUUAUAUUAUGGAUAAAUUAAGAAACCUCACUACUAAAUGUGUUAAAAAAAUUUGUCCCAGAAGCGGUAGUGGUAGUAAAAAGUGAAUUACUAGCGGUAGAGGUAGUUCAAGUAGUAGAUAUACGCGUGUGUCUUCGCCUCCGGUACCGAUUGGUACACCUUUUGAGGAAGAAAUAGGUGUAGGUGCUCACGAUAUGGAUUAUGUAGAAGCUUGGGAAAAUUACGGUAUAGAAGAAGAAAAUGAAGUAGAUGCGGUUAAUUUAGACGAAGAUAAUGAAAAUAUUGCUGAGACACCCGCAGUAGGAAAUGCUAACGUUAGAUCUGAAUCAGUUAAUCUCCCUUCCCGUCCUCCCAGUGCCCCAAAACCUCGUAAAAGAACUAGUAUUGCAUGACAAUUUUUUGAACGUAUAUCAGAUAUUGAGGUGCAAUGCAAUAUUUGUCAACAAAUAUAUAAGCAUAGAAGUGGAGGCAAGCAAGGGGGUACGGGUACGUUAAUGAGACAUAUAGCUGAAGAUCACAAAAGAGAGUUAAAUAUUGCACAAGGUGGUGGGGAUGUUGGUGGGCCAACGCAAACUAGAAUNNN
RNAcentral lists this long non-coding RNA (617 nucleotides) under Capsicum annuum. RNAcentral's name for it is "long non-coding RNA (CANN_LNC000833)". Lineage: Eukaryota; Viridiplantae; Streptophyta; Magnoliopsida; Solanales; Solanaceae. The record is from RNAcentral.